This 190-nucleotide RNase P RNA is filed under the name Flavobacteriales bacterium. Its description in RNAcentral is "partial RNase P RNA component class A". It matches the Rfam family "Bacterial RNase P class A", at positions 1 to 182 of the family's 367-position model. From Rfam's summary of the family: Ribonuclease P (RNase P) is a ubiquitous endoribonuclease, found in archaea, bacteria and eukarya as well as chloroplasts and mitochondria. Its best characterised activity is the generation of mature 5'-ends of tRNAs by cleaving the 5'-leader elements of precursor-tRNAs. The record is from RNAcentral. Lineage: Bacteria; Pseudomonadati; Bacteroidota; Flavobacteriia; Flavobacteriales.
CCUGCACAUCGCUCCACCGCCUUCCCGGCUUGCCGGGGGGGAGGAAAGUCCGGACAGCAUAGGGUGCCGUGCUUCCUAACGGGAAGGGGCGCCACUGGGAACGGUGGCGUUACGGAAAGUGCCGCAGAAAGGGAGACCGCCACGCGCGAGCGGGGUAAGGAUGAAAAGGUGGGGUAAGAGCCCACCAGUG